This is a long non-coding RNA of Oncorhynchus tshawytscha (Chinook salmon), 445 nucleotides long. NCBI's taxonomy places the organism in Eukaryota, Metazoa, Chordata, Actinopteri, Salmoniformes, Salmonidae. The record is from Ensembl.
GUGUAAGAAUAGUAGAAUACGCCAGGUGUAAGAAUAGUAGAAUACGCCAGGUGUAAGAAUAGUAGAAUACGCCAGGUGUAAGAAUAGUAGAAUACGCCAGGUUUAAGAAUAAUAGAACACGCCAGGUGUAAGAAUAAUAGAACACGCCAGGUGUAAAAAUAAUAGAACACGCCAGGUGUAAGAAUAAUAGAACACGCCAGGUGUAAGAAUAAUAGAACACGCCAGGUGUAAGAAUAGUAGAAUGCGCCAGGUGUAAGAAUAGUAGAAUACGCCAGGUGUCAGAAUAGUAGAAUACGCCAGGUGUCAGAAUAGUAGAAUAUGCCAGGUGUAAGAAUAGUAGAAUACGCCAGGUGUAAGAAUAAUAGAACACGCCAGGUGUAAGAAUAAUAGAACACGCCAGGUGUAAGAAUAGUAGAAUACGCCAGGUGUAAGAAUAAUAGAACAC